UAUUGAUUUCUUUCUCCGACAUCUCACUGAUUAUAGAUGAGGUAUCAGUAGCGAAAAUAUUGAAGGUUGAAAAGGAUUACAAGCUUUUUGUCGAGGAAUACAUCUUUAAUUUUGAGGGUGACUUCAUACCACCCAGAUCCUGUGGAGGUAAUAAAGACAUCGUGCAAGUGUUGCGGGGAAGGCCUUUUCCAAUCAUACUAUUGCUCUGCUUUAUCAGAUUGCCCAUUAAAGCACCAUGGGCUUUAAAACAGUCUCUCUCCCAGCAGCAUGUUCUGUUAUAGUUUGUUUUUUGUGGAAAUAUGGAAUUUUCUAAAUAAACUUGUAUUCUUUG
Long non-coding RNA from Astyanax mexicanus (Mexican tetra), 331 nucleotides. RefSeq lists it as uncharacterized. The record is from RefSeq and is a predicted model, not a curated record. The transcript is spliced from 2 exons. Lineage: Eukaryota; Metazoa; Chordata; Actinopteri; Characiformes; Acestrorhamphidae.